This is a long non-coding RNA of Hibiscus syriacus, 280 nucleotides long. RefSeq lists it as uncharacterized. Lineage: Eukaryota; Viridiplantae; Streptophyta; Magnoliopsida; Malvales; Malvaceae. The transcript is spliced from 3 exons. The record is from RefSeq and is a predicted model, not a curated record.
ACCAUAUUGGUUAAAUUUAUAGCGAACUUUUUAUUCAUUACUGCUAUUCUUGUACAGCUGCUAUACAGUGCCUGAAGAGGAAGAGAUUAUAUGAACAACAAAUAGAGCAGCUUGGGAACUUCCAGCUUCGUAUUCAUGAUCAAAUGAUAAUGUUAGAAUGUGCUAAAGCCACAACCGAAACUGUAGAUGCAUUGAGAAUUGGAGCUGCUGUAAUGAAAGCAAUGCAGAAAGCAAUGAAUAUAGAUGAUGUUGACAAAACAAUGGAUGAGAUGAGAACUGA